This 440-nucleotide ribosomal RNA is filed under the name uncultured bacterium. RNAcentral's name for it is "partial 16S ribosomal RNA". It matches the Rfam family "Bacterial small subunit ribosomal RNA", at positions 338 to 795 of the family's 1533-position model. The record is from RNAcentral.
CCUACGGGGGGCAGCAGUGGGGGAUAUUGCACAAUGGGGGGAACCCUGAUGCAGCGACGCCGCGUGGGUGAAGAAGCGCCUCGGCGCGUAAAGCCCUGUCAGCAGGGAAGAAAAUGACGGUACCUGAAGAAGAAGCCCCGGCUAACUACGUGCCAGCAGCCGCGGUAAUACGUAGGGGGCAAGCGUUAUCCGGAAUUACUGGGUGUAAAGGGAGCGUAGACGGCAAUGCAAGUCCGGAGUGGAAUGCGGCAGCUCAACUGCCGAACUGCUCUGGAAACUGUAUGGCUUGAGUGCAGGAGGGGUAAGCGGAAUUCCUGGUGUAGCGGUGAAAUGCGUAGAUAUCAGGAGGAACACCGGUGGCGAAGGCGGCUUACUGGACUGUAACUGACGUUGAGGCUCGAAAGCGUGGGGAGCAAACAGGAUUAGAUACCCGAGUAGUC